UUGCAGUUAAAAAGCUCGUAGUUGGAUUUUUAAGGGUGCCAGCUAGGCUAGGCCUUAAGUGUCUUUGCCUAGGAUGGUUCCUCUUAUUUUGCGCUUACGCUCGAUUGGGAUUCGUUUCCUGAUUGUGCAGUCGGCGCGUGUUUACUUUGAGAAAAUUAGAGUGUUCAAAACAGUCUCACGAUUGUAUAUCAUAGCAUGGAAUAAUAACUGAUGACUUCGGUCAAUUUUUUAUUGGUUUGGAUGGCUGAUGUAAUGAUUGAUAGAGUUAGUCGGAGGUAUUAGUAUUUUAUCGUUAGAGGUGAAAUUCACGGAUCGAUAAAAGACUAACAACUGCGAAAGCAUUUAUCUAGGAUUUGCUCUUUGAUCAAGAACGAAAGUUGGGGGAUCGAAGACGAUCAGAUACCGUCGUAGUCUCAACCUUAAACUAUACCAGCUAGGGAUUGGCAAACGUUAAUUUUGACUUUGUCAGAACCUUAUGAGAAAUCAAAGCAUUUGGGUUCCGGGGGGAGUAUGG
Molecule: ribosomal RNA, 514 nt
Filed under: uncultured marine eukaryote
Lineage: Eukaryota
Description: bacterial SSU rRNA
Rfam family: Eukaryotic small subunit ribosomal RNA
Source: RNAcentral